UGCGUAGUUCGACAGAUCGCCUGCGGUGAUUGUUAAUUUAAAACUCGGGAACGCGUGUGAGUUCAGGUUUGAAUGAGGGCUUGUUUUAAAGCUGCCGUUGCUCCCCUGCUAACGCGACAGUGCUCCGAUCCCUCAGUGGUCCGGUUUUUCCGAGUGGAAACGUAGACGAGGUGCCUCGGACGUGUCGAACAGUCACCUCGCCGAUUUUUAUUAAUUACUAAUUUGUUUUCAGUGACACAGUGGACCCCGAAAGAUGCGUGGAUUGGAUACUCAGGAUCUGCAAGAAGCCCAAAAUAACCCAAAUGAGGAAUUUUAAUCUGUUGUUGGAUUCAUUUAAGAAAGUAUUUUGCUGUCUUUGAGGACCCCUUGGCAUGCAGUGGACCAGAUGGAAGAUCCGUCGAUGCUCUGAAAAGAGCAAUCGUGGAGUUGAGUUCUACGAUGCAGUGAACUGAAGUUAUCCCAGGUUCAAUGACGUCAGAAUGGCUCUUGGUUCCUGAGGUCGCGCUUGUAUGCUAUGGAAACAUUGCGAGGCAGUGGGGUUAAGGUUCGAUCGACCUGAAGUGACAGGUGAUCGCCUUAAUCUCUCCAAUUGGUGCUUGUCGAGGCAAUGACCGCUUCGAUUGGUCAAAUAAUGGAGGUAAGUAAAUCAUUGAGUUUUAAUCAAAUAAUCAAGAGUUUUAUUUGUUUAAUUUUUCCAGGAGCUCCUGCCAAUUGGAAGCUCUUGCUGCGGUGAUUGAUACAUCUGGUUCGCUGCUCGUAAGAGCCCUUCGUCGUGAGGCACCUAAGGGAAGAUGUUGGUUACAAUGUGAGAGUUAGGUUAGGUUAGAGUUGGGGACUAUAAUUUUGUCCUGUGGCUCGGUUGUCUGGUAUUUUGUUCAUUCUGCAUCUUAGUUCCUUCUGUUUGUCUGUGCCCUAUGUUGCAUUGUUGUCCGGUACGUGUACGUUCAUAAGUAUCUUGGCUGUUUUUCUUGUGCUAAAUACUCCGUUGUUUCCGUGUUUAAUUGCCGUCACUGCCCUAUCCGUUUCUAAUUUAUUUGCCGUGUUUUUGUGUACGAAGCUCCACGGAUUAAUGUUGCCUUCCCUAUUAACAAAUUUUUCAUAGCUUUUAACUUUUGUCCCUUUUAUCGCCCUGUUGUAUUUCCUUCGUUUUUUCCAGCAUUGUUUUCUUUUUAUUUCCCUGUCUAUUCUGUCUUUUUCCUGUUGAUAUGUUUGUCCUUUUCUGUUCGUUUCCUUUUUCAAGUUCGUCACUCUAUACCUCCACCAUGGGUUCGCUUUUCUAUGCCUCUUCCUGGUCGGGGAACAUCGUGUACGAUGGUGCUUGGUCUCUUCGCUCUCAUUACCGUUGUUCCGAGGUCUUUGUUUGCCAGGAACCUGCCUAGUGCUCCCGGUGUGUCUGUCUCGACAUACACCGCGCCGUCCCUUUCCUUUCUAACUGACUUAAUGCCUAUUGGGAGCAUACAACGUUCUGUUCGGUUUAUCGCCCCGUGUCAAAUACUCCGUUUUAAAUUGUUGUACGACCCUUUGUUCGAUUUUUAUUCUCGAUUUUCGGGUCGCGUCAAUCCGAUUGAAAAUCACUAUUCA
RNAcentral lists this long non-coding RNA (1581 nucleotides) under Orussus abietinus. RNAcentral's name for it is "uncharacterized LOC105702485, transcript variant X1". The record is from RNAcentral. Lineage: Eukaryota; Metazoa; Arthropoda; Insecta; Hymenoptera; Orussidae.